This 649-nucleotide long non-coding RNA is filed under the name Physcomitrium patens. RNAcentral's name for it is "long non-coding RNA (PPAT_LNC013908)". The record is from RNAcentral. Lineage: Eukaryota; Viridiplantae; Streptophyta; Bryopsida; Funariales; Funariaceae.
AUUUGGUUUAAGGUUUAAGAUUCGGUUUAGGAUUUAGGAUGUGAUUUAGAGUUUAAGGUUUGAUUAAAGUUUGAUUUAGGGUUUAGAAUUUGGUUAGGAUUUGAUUUACGAUUAGGAUUUGAUUAAGAAUUGAUUUAGGAUUAAAAUUUGGUUAAGAUUUGAUUUAGGAUUAGGAUUUGGUUAACAUUUGAUUUAGGAUUAGGAUUUGGUUUAGGAUUUAGGAUUUAGUUAGGAUUUGGAUAGGAUUUGAUUAGGAUUUGGUUUAAAAUUUAGGAUUUGGUUUAAGAUUUAGGAUUUGAUUUAGAAUUUAAGGUUUGAUUAGAAUUUAGUUUAGAGUUUAGGAUUUGGUUACGAUUUGAUUUAGGAUUAAAGUUUGGUUAGAGUUUGAUUUAGGAUUAGGAUUUGAUUUAAGAUUUAGGAUUUGAUUAGAAUUUGGUUAGGAUUAGUUUAGGAUUUAGGAUUUGAUUUAGAAUUUAAGGUUUGAUUAGGAUUUGAUUUAGGGUUUAGAAUUUGAUUAGGAUUUUAUUUAGGAUUUAAUUUAGGAAUUAAGAUUUUAUUAGGAUUUAUUUAGGAUUUAAGAUUUAGUUAGUUUUUGGCCUAAAGUUUGAAUGAAGUCUAAUAGGAUUUUAACUAAGAUUAGAUUAAGAUU